UGAGGAAUAUUGGUCAAUGGGCGCGAGCCUGAACCAGCCAAGUAGCGUGAAGGAUGACUGCCCUAUGGGUUGUAAACUUCUUUUAUAUGGGAAUAAAGUUUUCCACGUGUGGAAUUUUGUAUGUACCAUAUGAAUAAGGAUCGGCUAA
This 148-nucleotide ribosomal RNA is filed under the name uncultured bacterium. RNAcentral describes it as "partial 16S rRNA". It matches the Rfam family "Bacterial small subunit ribosomal RNA", at positions 355 to 500 of the family's 1533-position model. The record is from RNAcentral.